RNAcentral lists this unclassified non-coding RNA (378 nucleotides) under uncultured Nitrospiraceae bacterium. RNAcentral's name for it is "contains 16S-23S intergenic spacer region". The record is from RNAcentral. Lineage: Bacteria; Pseudomonadati; Nitrospirota; Nitrospiria; Nitrospirales; Nitrospiraceae.
UCCGAGUUGACCCCGGCAGUCUCCCAUGAGUCCCCACCAUCACGUGCUGGCAACAUGGAACGAGGGUUGCGCUCGUUGCGGGACUUAACCCAACACCUCACGGCACGAGCUGACGACAGCCAUGCAGCACCUGAGCACGCUGGUAUUGCUACCUCGUCAGGCUUUCACCCUUCUACUACGUGCAUGUCCAACCUGGGUAAGGUUCUUCGCGUUGCGUCGAAUUAAACCACAUGCUCCACCGCUUGUGCGGGCCCCCGUCAAUUCCUUUGAGUUUCAACCUUGCGGCUGUACUUCCCAGGCGGGAUACUUACUGCGUUAGCUGCGGCACCGGCGGUAACCCGCCGACACUUAGUAUCCAUCGUUUAGGGCGUGGACUAC